This 492-nucleotide ribosomal RNA is filed under the name uncultured bacterium. Its description in RNAcentral is "partial 16S ribosomal RNA". It matches the Rfam family "Bacterial small subunit ribosomal RNA", at positions 29 to 507 of the family's 1533-position model. The record is from RNAcentral.
AGUGAACGCUGGCGGUAGGCCUAACACAUGCAAGUCGAACGGCAGCACCGUACUAGCUUGCUCUUACGGGUGGCGAGUCGGGGACGGGACAGGAAUACAACGGACCCUACUUUUUCGUGGGGGUUAACGUAGGGAAACUUACGCUCAUACCGCAUCCGCCCUACGGGUGAAAGCAGGGGAUAUUUGCACCGUGUGCGAAUGGAUUAGCCGAUGUCGGAUUUGCUAGUUGGCGGGGUAAUGGCCAACGCAGGCGACGAUCCGCAGCCGGUCUGGGAGGAUGGUCGGCCACAUUAGAACGGAAACACGGACAAGACGCCUACGGGAGGCAGCAGUGGGGAAUAUUAGGCAAUGGGCGGAAGCCUGAUCCAGCCAUACCGCGUGGGUUGAGAAGGCCUUCGGGUUGGAAAGCCCCUUUGUUGGGAAAGAAAAGCAGCAGGUUAAUACCCCGCUGGUCUGACGGUACCCAAAGAAUAAGCACCGGCUAACUUCGUG